This is a long non-coding RNA of Esox lucius (northern pike), 1702 nucleotides long. Lineage: Eukaryota; Metazoa; Chordata; Actinopteri; Esociformes; Esocidae. The record is from Ensembl.
AGUGUCUUUGUAUGGAAGGCGCCUUACCCCUAUCCAAACAUUCAGAUCCGUUGGAGCUGUAGGUGGUUGAAGUUCACUAUUAUCAGCAUUCCAAAACCACCAGCACUACUGAAGUCUUAUUUCAGCAGCUCCUGGAAAGGAUAGUCUCAACACAGUGUUUGACCACCACCAAAACAAUUCCUCACAUUCAACCAUGGUUUCUCAGGAUGAUUUUUCUCAAGGGUAUGGGAAGGGAAACCAUUGGACUCUAAUGGUUAGUAGCCUUCCCUGUUUAUUCAUGUCCAGAAAGCCAUGAUCUGCCAAGUCAAUAUUAUUAGCACAAAAUAUUAGAGUGGAUGUUGAUGCAGGGUCCAGUUAGGUAUGUCUGAGCAGCUGGUGCUCAAGUGGAGAGAUAAUGUGUUCUCUGCAUUACUUUCAUUAUUAUUUGUAUUUAUCAUUAUGCCCAGGUCAGGCCCUUGUGAGGUUGUGAGGCCUGAGACAAUUGCUUCUUCUACCAUAUGAACCCUCAUGCCUGGAGGCAAGCUCAACUCCUCACUUUUGAGGAGCCAGUAGAACACAAUGAGGCAAAUCUGUCCGACAAACCUCCAGGCACGGCAAAUCUUCAGUAGCCGAUAUCAAGUGGGCACUGGUUUCCCUGGAGCAUUUUGAGGCAGUGGCUUUAUCCAUUCUCGAGGUCCAAAUAAUAUUUUAGUCAAAAGACAAAGACUAUUUAAAGCUCCAUACAGUCAUUGUAAAAAAUAUAUAUUGAUCAUCACUAUAUGUUCAAUAACUCCAAAACCUCCUUCGGCCCAUAAAAUGCUCACUUUGUGCAAAUGGGAAAAUAUUUACAUACAAUGCAAUAAUUUUGCUGAUUAGAUGGUCUAAAACUCACACACCCUGUGUAACUGUGAUGCAGCAGCGCCUUCUCUUACAUCUAGAUUGAACCAAGGCCCCCUUGAGGGGCAGCAUCUCCAAAGCUGCAGAGACAGGGGGUUGUUGAAACAUAAAAGAGACCCUGAUGUACAGGACAUGGCAGAGACCUCAUUGCCUGUGUUGCCUGACCUCAUUGCCUGUGUUGCCUGACCUCAUUGCCUGUGUUGCCUGACCUCAUUGCCUAUGUUGCCUGACCUCAUUGCCUGUAUUGCCUGACCUCAUUGCCUGUAUUGUUGUUUUGCCCCUGAGCCAUGAGAAAGAAGAGUUCUGAGGCUGCCGAGUCCACGACAACUGCCACUGAUACCCCCAGAGCCACCACCCCUGGCAGCACAGAAGCCUCAUUUAUCAAGUGCGCAUUAUGCAGAAAUCUGUACUUAAACCAUGAAAUCUGUGCAUCAACCAUGGAACUUUCAGCACAAAGUUGAAGCUUUAUCAACAUUAUUGUUUGCAGUGUUCUUAAGUUAACGCACAUCCAUGACCGAUUCAUAUGCACAGUGUUAAGUGAUAGAAUAAGGGAACUGCUUUUCAAAUGUAGACUGAUUAAUGUUGAACCUUUUUUAAAUGUAUAAAUGAAUGCCCGAAAUAGAUUCUAAAAUGAGUAUGAACAGACUACACGUGAAUGCAAACUGAUAGAUGGACCAGUAAGAAAGUUUAAAUGAGGUAUAUCACAUUCACUUUAUAAACAUUAAGUUAAAGAAUUAACUGCAGAUAUCCCCUUUAAACAAUAUUUGAAUGCCAUUGAUUUUCUAUUGUGAAUUCAUGCAACAUUUCUUAACAAGCUAUGGCAGUG